Molecule: long non-coding RNA, 3137 nt
Filed under: Oryctolagus cuniculus (rabbit)
Lineage: Eukaryota; Metazoa; Chordata; Mammalia; Lagomorpha; Leporidae
Description: lncRNA (ENSOCUG00000038744.1)
Source: RNAcentral
GCUGAUGGCAGGACACUCCCGGCCUCUCCUGGUGACUUCACAAACCUAGAACCUCUCCGCGCCGCACCCACCCGCUCUCCUCAAGGACAAGGCGGCUGCUCCUGCCAGCUACUGGGGCAUCAGUGGAAUCCAGAGGACAUGCAGGGUGCAAGUAGCAGAGCUGGAAAUCAGAGCUCAUCCCCAACACCACAUCCCGGUGGCUGCUCCUCUACGGUGACCUCACUUUUGAAUCCCACUUCCUCUGAAGAACCCACUGGAUACACACCCACUGGAAGCACCCACUGGAGCAUUGGUGGUUUUGCAGCCCACAGGGAAAGAGAUGAUUGGAAAACUUCCAGAGCAUCUGUCAGCUGCCUGAGAACUAGACUUGCUAAUACACAGUCCUAAUUUCUUUCUUCCUUAUUGGAAGUGGGUGGCACUGAGAACUGAUUCUCUGUAACCUCCAGAAGCUUUCUGCUCAACGACACAGACUUCUUCGACUCUAUUCUUGCUGGUGAUUUUCCCUAGUUGUUUGGCACAAAUCCCUGCACAUACUGGAAAUUCCAAGGCUAUGAAUGUGCCUAGUCACGCUGUUGGUCAGAUGCCUGGGAAGACUCUCUAUGAAACACCCUGGGGUCAGACAAAUGUCAUCUGCAUCCCACUGACCUCUCCAAGUUGAAGCAUGAAAAAAAAAGUGUCUUCCUGUUGACUUCCAUUGCAUACAUUCUUCAGAAAUCAUUGUCUUUGUCCACCGCUGUUUACAAUGCCCCACUGUCCAAGUUGCAUGAUCACCAACCCGGUGCUCCCUCGCCUGGGUCCCACAGAAAGCUACAUGUCUGGCUCCAUUCACUUGGAAGCUGCUUCAUCGUUUGCAUUCAGUUUGUGUAUAUUAAUUUUUAGAAGUGUGCACAGCAAUUAAAUGUUGAAGUGGAGAAACAUUUGCACUCUCUCUACUUCCAGUCCCAGACUUUGGCCUGGCUCUCAUUCCUUCACGUGGAAAUGGUGUGUGUAGUGGAGGCUGUGAUCUGCUACCCAGAUUCCCUCCUCAUGACUGUGCUAACCCUUCUGUCAGUUGCCAGAUGUGCUGGCCGCCCUUAGCUCACAGCCGAGUUCCACUAGGCAGUAACCCUCAGCCUCAAAGCAGUUGGGUUGCCCAAGAUUUGUCUCCGUUUCCCCCAUCUUUAGAGCAUUCCAAGAGUAAAGAGACUGAGGAAGAUGGCGAGGGGGUUACAAAACCUGGCUCCCAAGCUCCAGGUUGUCACAACCCUGCAGGGCCACCUUGUCCUGGCUCUCCCUGUUGGAUCAGCUGAGCCCUCUGUUGCUACUGUGCUAUGGCCCAACUUCUCUUUGGUCCUGUCUUGCUUCCCUCCAUCUCACUUUUGGUUCAUUUAUUUGUAUUUGUUAGGAAGCGGGAGGGAGAAAGAGAGAGAGAGGGAGAACUUCCAUCCAUAAGUUCACUCCCCCAAAUGCCUUCAAGAGCUGGAGCUGGACCAGGCUGAAGCUCGAGACCAGAACUCUUUCUGGGUCUCCCAUGUGGAUGGCAGGGGUAGAAGUACUUGGGUCAUCAUUUGCUGCCACCGAGAGGGUGCAGUUAGCAGAGAGCUGGAUCCGAAGAGGAGGCUGGAUUGGACCCCAGGCACUCUGACUUGAAUGUGGGCUUUGCAAGCAGUGGCUUAACAAUGGCUGGCCCCUCCCAUCUCCUGUUGGUGUUACAUCACUGCCCCUAGUCAGACAUUCGUCCACAAAUCUCCACAUCAGAAGCUAUUUGCCAGAAAACCCAACCUAUGCCUGAGUAGAAGUCUAUCACUCUACCUGUGUUGAGUUCAAGUCAACCUCUUCAUACCUUUCUCCUGCCAUUGGACUUAAUCAACAGACCCAUUUAAGUCCUGGGGUCCUUUUUCCUAUGUGAGUGCUCUCAGUUUUGGAAGCUAUGCCUUGGGAUUCCACAUCAAAAGCUCUUCUUUAGACUUCACAACCCAACCCUGCAGGAAGAGAGAGACAGAGAGAGAGAUGCAGAAAAGAAAACAUUCCUGAGUGCCCUGGUGUGCAGCCACCUGACAGGUACCACAGCCCAGCCCUCUGGGAAAGCCGUGGCUGCUGCGGUUAGAAACUCAGACCCCAGAAAGCCAACGGGGGGGGGGGGGGGGGACUGCAGGGGAAGUCCUCUGAUGAGAGAGACGUCCGUCUCUGCUGCAGGAUUUUAAUGUGUUUCUAUUCAGGUGGCUUCAGCAUGGACUUGGGGCCCUACAACCUUGGCACAGGGAGUAGCUCUUUCCAUGGACUCAGAGUGAGGGAGAGGCGGCUGGGAUCAGGAUCCGUGCGUUCCCUGAGUCUGCUCGCAUUCCACAGUUUAUGUACUGAAACCAGGGCAUGUUUUGUGAAGAAAGUAAUACUUGACUAAAUUGUCCCCCUGACGUAAACCUAUAAUUUAAAAAUUAUAUAUAUUUAGAGAACAAGUCAAAACAGGAAGCACAUUCCCAAAGUGGAGAAAAGCUAUUUAUGCAUUAAAAUGCCUACUACUGCCCAAGAAGACCUGUGUCCCUGGGCUUAAAUAGGAAAACUCGGAAAAAUACAGGAAGAAAGCGAAAAGGAGCCUGCCCACGUGUGUGUGUCUGGACAGGCUGUGGGUGCCACCUAUGACAAGGGCAGAUGGUCGCUCUGCUCUGUGCUUCCCGGGAGAGGCCGUGAUGGCCUUUGGUCCACCCAGUGUGGCUAUUGCAAGGGCAGAGCCCAAGUUCAGACCACGCAUGCUAGAAAGGAAUAUAUGAUCUCAUAGAGGAAAAGGUGACCAGCGGGAAAAUUUAACCCCAACUCAAGCAGAGCUAGAAAGAAAGAAGGACUGUGCCAGGCAGGGCAGGGGUGGGCAUUAGGGUCAGCAGUUACGAUGUCAGUGAAUUCAACAUUCGCAUCCCUCAUCGAAGUUGGUGGGUUCAAGGCUCGGCUCCAGUUCCAGACUCCAGCUUCCUGCUAUUGCAGACCCUGGGAGGCAGCAGUGAUGGGUCAAGUGAUUGGGUUCUUGCUACCUAUGUGGGGGAACCCAGAUUGAGUCGCUGGCUCUCACCUUUGGCCCGAGGUAGGGGCUAUUGGAGGCAUUUGGAGAGUGAGCUCUCUCUCUUCCUAUCUGUCUCUCAAAUAAAUGCAUUUUUAAAGUAGGGACA